This 1328-nucleotide ribosomal RNA is filed under the name uncultured Leptospirillum sp. RNAcentral describes it as "bacterial SSU rRNA". It matches the Rfam family "Bacterial small subunit ribosomal RNA". The record is from RNAcentral. Lineage: Bacteria; Pseudomonadati; Nitrospirota; Nitrospiria; Nitrospirales; Nitrospiraceae.
AUCCCCCGGUGGGUGGCGAAGGGUGAGUAAGACAUGGGAAUCUGUCCCGGAGAUGGGGAUAUCCUCCGAAAGGAGGGUUAAUACCGAAUACCGUCCGGUGGACGAGAGUCCAUCGGGAAAGGGAGGCCUCUGGCACAUGCUUCCGCUCCGGGAGGAGCCCAUGGCCAUCAGCUAGUUGGGAGGGUAACGGCCUACCAAGGCGAAGCGGGUAGCUGGUCUGAGAGGACGAUCAGCACACUGGCACUGAGACACGGGCCAGACUCCUACGGGAGGCAGCAGUGAGGAAUUUUGCGCAAUGGGGGCAACCCUGACGCAGCAACGCCGCGUGUGGGAAGAAGGCUUUCGGGUUGUAAACCACUUUUGUAAGGGACGAAGUCCCUUCGGCAAAUAACCGAGGGGGAUGACGGUACCUUGCGAAUAAGCCACGGCUAACUCUGUGCCAGCAGCCGCGGUAAGACAGGGGUGGCAAGCGUUGUUCGGAGUAACUGGGCGUAAAGGGUCUGUAGGUGGUUUUUCAAGUCUUUGGUAAAACGCCGUGGCUCAACCAUGGUUUGCCAAGGAGACUGGGAGACUCGAGGCUGGGAGAGGGAAGGGAAUUUCUGGUGUAGCGGGAAAUGCGUAGAGAUCAGAAAGAAGGCCGGUGGCGAAGGCGGCUUCCUGGAACAGACCUGACACUGAGAGACGAAAGCGUGGGGAGCAAACAGGAUUAGAUACCCUGGUAGUCCACGCCCUAAACGAUGGGAACUAAGUGUGGGGAGCAAUCCCCGUGCCGCAGCUAACGCAAUAAGUUCCCCGCCUGGGGAGUACGGCCGCAAGGUUGAAACUCAAAGGAAUUGACGGGGGCCCGCACAAGCGGUGGUGCAUGUGGUUUAAUUCGACGCAACGCGAGGAACCUUACCUGGGUUUGACAUGGCGCUGGUAGUGAACCGAAAGGGGAACGACCCCGCAAGGGGAGGCGUCACAGGUGCUGCAUGGCUGUCGUCAGCUCGUGCCGUGAGGUGUUGGGUUAAUCCCGCAACAGCGCAACCCCCGCCCUUUGUUGCUACCGGGUAAAGCCGGGCACUCGAGGGGACUGCCAGCGAAGAGUUGGAGGAGGUGGGGAUGACGUCAAGUCAUCAUGGCCUUUAUAUCCAGGGCGACACACGUGCAACAAUGGCCGGUACAGACGGAGGCGAGCCCGUAAGGGGGAGCAAAUCCGAGAAAGCCGGUCUCAGUUCGGAUUGAGGUCUGCAACUCGACCUCAUGAAGUCGGAAUCGCUAGUAAUGCGUAUCAGAACGACGCGGGAAUACGUCCCACCGCCCGUCACACCACGAAAGUCUGUUGUACC